Molecule: ribosomal RNA, 253 nt
Filed under: uncultured bacterium
Lineage: Bacteria
Description: partial 16S ribosomal RNA
Rfam family: Bacterial small subunit ribosomal RNA
Source: RNAcentral
UACGGAGGGUGCAAACGUUGCUCGGAAUUAUUGGGCGUAAAGCGCACGUAGGCGGACCAUCAAGUCGGUUGUGAAAUCCCUCGGCUUAACCGAGGAACUGCCUGUCAGACUGGAAGGCUUGAGACCGGGAGAGGUGAGUGGAAUUCCCAGUGUAGCGGUGAAAUGCGUAGAUAUUGGGAGGAACACCAGUGGCGAAGGCGGCUCACUGGACCGGAACUGACGCUGAGGCGCGAAAGCGUGGGGAGCAAACAGG